CGGUCGCAAGCCCUCAAAUGAAUUGCGGGGGCCCGCACAAGCGGUGGAGCAUGUGGUUUAUUCCAUGCAACGCGAAGAACCUUACCUACUCUUGACAUCCAGAGAACUUUCCAGAGAUGGAUUGGGCCUUCGGGAACUCUGAGACAGGUGCUGCAUGGCUGUGUCAGCUCGUGUUGUGAAAUGUUGGGUUAAGUCCCGCAACGAGCGCAACCCUUAUCCUUGUUUGCCAGCGAUAAUGUCUGGAACUCCAGGGAGACUGCCGGGGAUAAACCGGAGAAGGUGGGGACGACGUCAAUCAUCAUGGCCCUUACGAGUAGGGCUACACACGUGCUACAAUGGCGCAUACAGAGGGCAGCCAACUUGCGAAAGUGAGCGAAUCCCAAAAAGUGCGUCGUAGUCCGGAUUGGAGUCUGCAACUCGACU
RNAcentral lists this ribosomal RNA (423 nucleotides) under Vibrio alginolyticus. RNAcentral describes it as "bacterial SSU rRNA". It matches the Rfam family "Bacterial small subunit ribosomal RNA", at positions 883 to 1317 of the family's 1533-position model. The record is from RNAcentral. Lineage: Bacteria; Pseudomonadati; Pseudomonadota; Gammaproteobacteria; Vibrionales; Vibrionaceae.